Molecule: ribosomal RNA, 213 nt
Filed under: Gjaerumia minor
Lineage: Eukaryota; Fungi; Basidiomycota; Exobasidiomycetes; Georgefischeriales; Gjaerumiaceae
Description: partial 18S ribosomal RNA
Rfam family: Eukaryotic small subunit ribosomal RNA (bases 1-86)
Source: RNAcentral
GCUGGGAACUUGUGCAAACUUGGUCAUUUAGAGAAAGUAAAAGUCAUACCAAGGUUUCUGUAGGUGAACCUGCAGAAGGAUCAUUAGUGAAUACACCGGGGCUGGGAACUUGUGCAAACUUGGUCAUUUAGAGAAAGUAAAAGUCAUACCAAGGUUUCUGUAGGUGAACCUGCAGAAGGAUCAUUAGUGAAUACACCGGGGAACCCACUCUGU